CGUUCCAAUUUCCCAACAAAACAGUGAUUUUUCCCCCAACACGUUCCAAAACAUAAACCCUAAUUACAAACAAAUCGUCGAAAUGAAUUCACUCUUAUUUCCAAUUCAGAGAUUUCGUACAAUGUUCGGAAAAAAUUCGGUCGCAACAUGGAUGUUCUACCAGUCAUUCUCUUGAAGUUUGUUGUCCAAAACUGCUAGUCAGAUCGAUCUGUUCAAGAUUUCGUUAAUCGGAAAUGAAGCUCGGAUGGCCAUUCUCUUAUAUUAACAGAUUAGUUCAUUCUUUUAAAGCUAAUCACUUUGAUUUAAAAAUAGAUGAAUUAGUUAAUACCGACCAUAUAGCUAUAAACGUGGAAUCAUUAAAUCCGACAUCCUUGCGGGCCUUACUAGAUCUUGAUCAAGAUCUAGUGAGUGUUAAACACCUACGCAAGGAUGACUCAACUAGUAGAUUAAUUCCGGAAUUUCUUUUACUAUGUCAGAAAACCUUCUUUCGUUGUAAUAGUUAUGAGGACAGGCUUCGGUUAUUUCACGACUCGCCACAGACCGGCUCCCCUUUUGGACUUGACACUUUCGAUGUUGGUUAUGGCGAGUUCUGCCAUAACCAACUUGAUUUUUUUGAGCAAAACUGAAACAGAGAAAGCUAAGUUGCAACGUGACGCCAAGUAUUACAAAUAUUCUCGACAUUUUUCUACUAUAGUCCUUUGCCUUAUUUUCAUAACCAUAUAUUUUUCUAGCCUUGUCGCUGCCGCCAUGGAGGCAACACCUUUAGUAAAAGCCCUCAUGGUAGGUUUGCCGACGGUGACGGUGUGGACAUGGGUAAACGGAAAAUUGAAAAAGAAAGAUGAGGAUAUAAAAAACACUUGAAUGUUAUAUCAUAUAUGAAUGUUAGCAUUGAUAUGAUGCUUAAACAUAUCAUGCUUAUUAGGGAUCUUGGAUCUGCUGAAAAGAUCCAAGAUCGAGGGCGAUACAAAAAAUAAAAUAUAAAAUCAGUUUUAAAAAUAAUCACACGAUGCAUGACAUUUGUUUUUUGAAAUCCAGAAAACUGGUUUUGCACCAGUUUUCUGAAAUUGAGUGAUUGCAUGACCUAAAUUAUAUAAAUUAUGUUUAUGCAGAAAACUGGGAGGAGAAACUGAAAUUGAGCCAGUGUGAUCUUAUCUGCUCUUCCAGUUACUUCUGUUCCUAGCCAUCACUCUGAGCUGGUUCUUACCCCGAAUUUGCCCGAUAUAACUGUUGUUCUGCUCUUUAUGUUCUUGAUUGAUGGUGGUUGUGUGCUUGUGCGUUUGAGCAAGGGUCCGUGGAAAGCCUCUUUUUAGUUUCUUGUUUGAACUCGGAUCCAAGGAGCAUACCUACUAUGUUUGGAGGCUCUAUUCUUUUGCUCAGAUAGUUGAAGCUUUGACAGAUCGACUAAAGUUGCAAGGCUCAUGCUCGUGUCAGACAUUCUUCACUGUACUUUAAAGCUUUAAUGAUUUAUGUCAGAGUAUCACAGGAAGAAUCACUGCUGAGGCCCUUAAGGAUAAUGAGUGAUAAGAACUUGGAGGACAAUGACAUUGAACCGACACCCAAGCUUAUUGGCGUGGUGUUCCAGAACUGCCAAGGCCAGGUAGAGCAUUGGGUUAAGCCAUAUAUUAGACUCAUGGUUGAGCGUUUGCGUGUAGUAGAGACUAGAGAGACCUUGAAAUGUCUUCUGGUGCAAGUUGUAACUUAAAACUGGGAGGAGAAACUGAAAUUGAGCCAUUGUGAUCUUAUCUGCUCCUCCAGUUACUUCCGUUCCUAGCCAUCACUUUGAGCUGGUUCUUACCCCCGAUAUAUAACUGUUGUUCUGCUCUUUAUCUUCUUGAUGGUGCUUGUGCGUUUGAGCAAGAGUCCGUGGAAAGCCUCUUUUUAGUUUCUUGUUUGAACUCAGAUCCAAGGAGCAUACCUACUAUGUUUGGAGGCUGUAUUCUUUUGCUCAGAUAGUUGAAGCUUUGACCGACUAAAGUUGCAAGGCUCAUGCUUGUGUCAGACAUUCUUCACUGUACUUUAAAGCUUUAAUGAUUUAUGUGAGAGUAUCACAUGAAGAAUCACUUGUAUUAUGAUAUUCCUUUUGGUGUGUCUAGUUGAAAGAUUGUAUGAUUUCACUUGUAUUUCAAAUUGACUUAUCCCUAGCUUUCAAUAAUUAGACCAAUUGCGAUAUACAUUAGUUUGUCACCAAUCACAAUAAAGUUGUCUAUUUUUUUUCUUCA
This is a long non-coding RNA of Helianthus annuus (common sunflower), 2219 nucleotides long. RefSeq lists it as uncharacterized. NCBI's taxonomy places the organism in Eukaryota, Viridiplantae, Streptophyta, Magnoliopsida, Asterales, Asteraceae. The record is from RefSeq and is a predicted model, not a curated record. The transcript has 8 exons.